GUUUACCACUUGUAAGAAACAUUACCAAAACUAUCUAAGCCUUCUACCACCUUAGUUGGUUUUUGCCUUUUGACUCUGUAUUCCCUUUCUUUCUGUUUAUUUUGCUUUCUUUUGUCUUGUUCUUUUUUGUUUCCCAUUAGUUUAAUGGCACAUUAAAACAAAUUAAUAUAUCUAGGAAUCUGUCAAUAUCUGGGGUUGUCAUCAAGUUCAAACCAGCUUGUGCUUUGCUAGAUUUCUGCUCUGUUCCUAUUGCUCUGCUGCUCUUUAUUUGAAUUUAAAACCCAUUUUAGCAUACCCUGAAAGCCUUCACCAGAUUUGCCUUCCUCUUUGGAAUUUCUCAUCUGGGUCUUUAUGCAUUGGAGCUAGCAUGAUCUUUCAAAGGUGCUAUCUUUUCCAUUCUUUGUUCUGUUGUCCUAGUGGGUUCCUUCUGUCAGUUUUGAUUUUCGGUUAAUAACUACUAGUUCAUUGUGUUGCUUUGGAAAAGUCUAGAUUUCUCUUCCUUGGUUUUAGAAUUUAUGUUAUACGUCAUAGUUGAUAAUUAGAGGUUCUUGAAUUGCUUUUGCUGGAUUAGAACAUAAGAUUUCAUUUCCUUCAUUUGGCUUUCUUCGUGGUUUUUGAUUCCUAUUGUGUUUGAUUAACAGUGGUUCCUUGACUGUUCUGCCUCUAUAAUAACCCUAAGGUCUGGUUAAGUUUAAACAGGAUCUACCUCUUUGUUCCUUAACAAAUUUCCCUGAUUUUGUAAUGAUGAGUGAUAGGGGAUUAAAAAUUUUUACUUGUGCUUUAUCAAUCUUGAGCUUGGCUAGUUUGUGUUGUGGAUUUAAUCCUGUAGACAAUUACCUUAUAGACUGUGGAUCAAGCAGCGAUACUACAGUGGGCGACCGUGUUUUCUUGGCUGAUAACUCUACCUCAAACUCCCUUUCAACCCCAAAAAACAUUUUUGCCAGAGCUUCAACAUCUGUCACGUCCUCCGAUUAUUCAUUGCUAUAUCAAACAGCAAGAAUCCUCGAUGGAACCUCAAAAUACACAUUUUCAAUUCAACAACCUGGUAGACAUUGGAUUCGCUUUUAUUUCUAUCCAUUUGUUUAUGAUAGUUACAAUAUGAACAGGGCAAUUUUUCAUGUUUCCACCCAAGACCAUGUCCUUCUGAGCAAUUUCAGUGUCAACUCUAAUGUUGUUAAAGAAUUUUCUGUUAAUGUAACCUCGACUAGCCUUGAAAUUAUUUUCACCCCAUCAAGCAAUUCGUUUGCAUUCUUGAAUGCCUUGGAAGUUGUUUCCAUCCCCGAUGCACUAAUUACAGAUGAUGCCAGCACUUUUGAUCCACUGGGGACAUUCCAAGGCUUGUUUUCACAGGCACUGGAGACUGUUUUUAGGGUGAACAUGGGUGGACCAACAAUUCUCCCUGAAAAUGAUACCCUUGGGCGAACUUGGGUUCCUGAUCAAGAUUUUCUCAUCAACGAGAAUUUUGCCACAAACAUAUCAAAAAUUAGUGCUGUCAAGUAUGUAGAAGGCGGAGCAACACCAGAUAUUGCUCCUAAUGCUGUUUAUGGUACUGCCACUGUGAUGAAAUCAGGAGAUGAUCCCAGAAGCAAUUUCAAUGUGACCUGGCAGUUCAAUGUUGAUCCUGGAUUUCAGUAUCUUGUUCGGUUUCACUUCUGUGAUAUACUAAGUAAAGCUCUUAACGAGCUCUACUUUGAAGUUUAUAUUGACUCUUCGAUUGUUGCUAAGGAUCUUGAUCCAAGUAUUCUAUUACAAAACAUUUUGGCAGGUGCACUUUAUAUGGAUUUUGUCACACCUUUAAAUGACAGCAAAAAUAAGCUUCGUGUGAGUAUUGGUCCAAGCUCUAUUCCUAAUGUUCUACCUAAUGCCAUUCUAAAUGGGCUAGAGAUAAUGAAAAUGAACAAUUCCCUUGGCAGCCUCAGUGGGUCAGCACCUUUGCUUUCUGAUUCAAGAUCUAAGAAGAAUGUUGGCAUGAUAGUGGGCUUGACCGCUGGGGCAGUUAUUGCGGUGGUGGUGGCUGCAAUAAUGUUUAUGUUUUGCAGAAAAAGGAAAAAGUUGGCACAUCAAGGCCAUUCGAAGACGUGGAUUCCCCUACCUGUUAGUGGGGGAAAUUCUCCCACUGUGGGUAGUAAGUAUUCUAAUGGAACAACUGUUAGUGUUAACUCUAAUCUAGGAUAUUGCAUUCCUUUUGUGGCAGUUCAAGAGGCCACAAACAACUUUGAUGAGGCCUGGGUUAUCGGUAUUGGUGGUUUUGGGAAGGUGUACAAAGGAGUUUUAAAUGACAGUACCAAAGUGGCUGUUAAAAGGGGAAAUCCACGCUCCCAACAGGGGCUUGCAGAGUUCCAAACUGAAAUUGAGAUGCUAUCCCAGUUCCGGCAUCGCCAUCUAGUUUCAUUAAUUGGGUACUGUGACGAAAAAAAUGAGAUGAUCUUAAUAUAUGAAUACAUGGAGAAUGGGACUCUUAAGGGUCAUCUCUAUGGCGCAGGUCGUCCAAGCUUGAGUUGGAAGGAAAGGCUUGAGAUAUGCAUUGGAGCAGCUAGAGGACUACAUUACCUUCACACUGGCUAUGCUAAAGCAGUCAUUCAUCGUGAUGUGAAGUCUGCAAAUAUCUUGCUUGAUGAGAAUCUCAUGGCCAAAGUUGCUGAUUUUGGGCUUUCAAAGACAGGACCUGAAAUAGACCAGACCCAUGUGAGUACAGCAGUGAAGGGGACUUUUGGGCACCUUGAUCCUGAAUAUUUCGAGAGGCGACAACUGACAGAGAAAUCGGAUGUGUAUUCAUUUGGGAUGGUUUUGUUUGAGGUUCUUUGUGCAAGACCUGUUAUAGAUCCAACCCUUCCAAGGGAAAUGGUGAACUUAGCAGAAUGGGCAAUGAAGUGGCAGAAAAAAGGGCAGUUGGAGCAAAUAAUAGAUCCUACACUUGGGGGAAAAAUAAGACCUGAUUCACUCAGGAAGUUCGGCGAAACUGCAGAGAAAUGCUUGGCCGACUUUGGCGUUGAAAGGCCUUCUAUGGGAGAUGUCUUAUGGAAUCUUGAGUAUGCUCUUCAACUUCAAGAGGUAGUUGUUCCUGGUGAUCCUGAAGAAAACAGCACUAACAUGAUUGGUGAGCUUUCUCCACAAAUCAACAAUUUCAGCAAUGUUGAUAUUAGCGUUUCUACUGCUCAAUUUGGAGCAUCAAGUGUGGAUGGUCUCUCUGGGGCUUCAAUGAGUAAAGUAUUCUCACAGCUAGUAAAGUCUGAGGGGAGAUAACUUGUUGGAGACGGUAUAUUUUGUGAGUUUGGCUCCUUCUUUGAUAUCAUUUCUUUGGUUUGUCUUCUCACCAAUCACUACUUUCUACACCAGAGUAGAUAGAGGAAUUUUUUUUAUUUGAUGUGGAGAAGGAAGAACAAUUUACUAAGGACAAUCCUUGUUCUGGUAAAAUCAAGAAAGCAUCUUCUCUGAUUACAGCAUGGCUUUUCUGCUUAGCUUUUGGGAAUACAGAGAGAAGGUGCUCCAUGUUCUAUGGCUAGUCAUCUUCUAGUAGGUGUCUAAGCCACACGAAAUUGUUUCUGGAGUUCUGCAUAUUGAGUUUUCUCUUUUGUACAGAAGGGAAGGUGCUUCAAGUGAGUUUUAGGGAAUUGAUAAGAAUGUUGCUUUUCUUAUGUAGCUUGUUUUGUGUCUAUUCAUAGUUAUAACUUGGUGUAACUGCAUUUAUUUCUAUGUUUGCUAGUGGUUGUCUGAUUUUAGUCUUCUUGUUCAUUUAACCAUCCUUGCUUAUCUAUCAAAUUCAUUUUGUAUAAUGGUAAUGAUUGCCUGAAUUUUGGAUUAAAAAUGAGACAAAAAUUUGGCCAAUGCUUAAAUGUUGUUUGUACUGUUUCAUCAACAAUUGUGUUACAUACCAGGUUGUCAAUGGUCCCAAAACACCCGAACUGGAGAGGAAGAAUGAAAGGAAGAGAAGCAUAGGGAAAAACAGAACAGAGUAGAAGGGGAUGGAGAAGAAAAGGAAA
RNAcentral lists this unclassified non-coding RNA (3980 nucleotides) under Hevea brasiliensis (rubber tree). The record is from RNAcentral. Lineage: Eukaryota; Viridiplantae; Streptophyta; Magnoliopsida; Malpighiales; Euphorbiaceae.